This 883-nucleotide ribosomal RNA is filed under the name uncultured Pseudomonas sp. RNAcentral's name for it is "bacterial SSU rRNA". It matches the Rfam family "Bacterial small subunit ribosomal RNA". Lineage: Bacteria; Pseudomonadati; Pseudomonadota; Gammaproteobacteria; Pseudomonadales; Pseudomonadaceae. The record is from RNAcentral.
GAUGAACGCUGGCUACAGGCUUAACACAUGCAAGUCGAGGGGAAACGACGGGGAAGCUUGCUUCCCCGGGCGUCGACCGGCGCACGGGUGAGUAACGCGUAUCCAACCUGCCUCUGACUGAGGGAUAACCCGUCGAAAGUCGGCCUAAUACCUCAUGGUAUCGUCUGCGGGCAUCUAACGACGAUUAAAGAUUUCAUCGGUCAGGGAUGGGGAUGCGUCUGAUUAGCUUGUUGGCGGGGUAACGGCCCACCAAGGCUACGAUCAGUAGGGGUUCUGAGAGGAAGGUCCCCCACAUUGGAACUGAGACACGGUCCAAACUCCUACGGGAGGCAGCAGUGAGGAAUAUUGGACAAUGGUCGGAAGACUGAUCCAGCCAUGCCGCGUGCAGGAUGAAGGUCCUAUGGAUUGUAAACUGCUUUUGUAAGGGAAGAAUAAGGAGUACGUGUACUUUGAUGACGGUACCUUACGAAUAAGCAUCGGCUAACUCCGUGCCAGCAGCCGCGGUAAUACGGAGGAUGCGAGCGUUAUCCGGAAUCAUUGGGUUUAAAGGGUCCGUAGGCGGGCUGAUAAGUCAGAGGUGAAAGCGCUUAGCUCAACCGCAAGCCUGCUCUGGAAACUAUGCGGCUAGAGUACUGGGAGAGGUGGACGGAACUGCACGAGUAGAGGUGAAAUUCGUAGAUAUGUGCAGGAAUGCCGAUGAUAAGAUAGUUCACUGGACGGUAACUGACGCUGAAGUGCGAAAGCUAGGGGAACAAACAGGAUAGAUACCCUAGUAGUCCAUGGCGAAUUCCACAUUGGGGCUGCAGCCCGGGGGACCACUAGUUCUAGAGCCGGCCGCCCCGGGGGAGCUCCAAAUCGCCCUAUUAGUGAUUAUUAUUACACA